Picea glauca (white spruce) is the source of this 267-nucleotide non-coding RNA. NCBI's taxonomy places the organism in Eukaryota, Viridiplantae, Streptophyta, Pinopsida, Pinales, Pinaceae. The record is from Rfam.
GGACAAAUGCGGUGACUAUGCUAAGAACCUUUCCAAGGCUUAUCAAGCUGUGAAUCCUUCUUAAAGAGAGGACUAAUUUUGGAAAUGUGGUGCAUGGCUGUCAGCUCCUCACACUAUCAGGCAUUGGGUUAAGACCUCCAACGAGCACAACCCUUGCAUUUGGAUGCCAUCGUCAAAUUUGGAAUCCUGAACAGACUGCUGGGCAUAGUCUUAAACAAAGGUGAGGUUGGCAUCAACGCACCAUGACCCUUAUUCCUUGGGCGACAC